GAUGAAGAACGCAGCGAAAUGCGAUAAGUAAUGUGAAUUGCAGAAUUCCGUGAAUCAUCGAAUCUUUGAACGCACAUUGCGCCCCCUGGCAUUCCGGGGGGCAUGCCUGUCCGAGCGUCAUUUCUGCCCUCAAGCACGGCUUGUGUGUUGGGUGUGGUCCCCCCGGGGACCUGCCCGAAAGGCAGCGGCGACGUCCGUCUGGUCCUCGAGCGUAUGGGGCUCUGUAACUCGCUCGGGAAGGACCUGCGGGGGUUGGUCACCACCAUGUUUUACCACGGUUGACCUCGGAUCAGGUAGGAGUUACCCGCUGAACUUAAGCAUAUCAAUAAGCGGAGGA
RNAcentral lists this unclassified non-coding RNA (337 nucleotides) under soil metagenome. Its description in RNAcentral is "partial contains 5.8S ribosomal RNA, internal transcribed spacer 2, and large subunit ribosomal RNA". The stretch from base 1 to 120 matches the Rfam family "5.8S ribosomal RNA", at positions 35 to 154 of the family's 154-position model. The record is from RNAcentral.